RNAcentral lists this ribosomal RNA (479 nucleotides) under uncultured bacterium. Its description in RNAcentral is "bacterial SSU rRNA". It matches the Rfam family "Bacterial small subunit ribosomal RNA", at positions 29 to 507 of the family's 1533-position model. The record is from RNAcentral.
AUGAACGCUGGCGGCGUGCUUAACACAUGCAAGUCGAACGAAGCACCUUUGAUUGAUUCUUCGGAUGAAAGAUUUGGUGACUGAGUGGCGGACGGGUGAGUAGCGCGUGGGUAACCUGCCUCAUACAGGGGGAUAACAGUUAGAAAUGACUGCUAAUACCGCAUAAGCGCACGGUAUCGCAUGAUACAGUGUGAAAAACUCCGGUGGUAUGAGAUGGACCCGCGUCUGAUUAGCUAGUUGGUGAGGUAACGGCUCACCAAGGCAACGAUCAGUAGCCGGCCUGAGAGGGUGAACGGCCACAUUGGGACUGAGACACGGCCCAAACUCCUACGGGAGGCAGCAGUGGGGAAUAUUGCACAAUGGGGGAAACCCUGAUGCAGCGACGCCGCGUGAGCGAUGAAGUAUUUCGGUAUGUAAAGCUCUAUCAGCAGGGAAGAAAAAUGACGGUACCUGACUAAGAAGCACCGGCUAAAUACGUG